This 489-nucleotide ribosomal RNA is filed under the name uncultured bacterium. RNAcentral's name for it is "partial 16S ribosomal RNA". It matches the Rfam family "Bacterial small subunit ribosomal RNA", at positions 30 to 506 of the family's 1533-position model. The record is from RNAcentral.
AUUGAACGCUGGCGGCAGGCCUAACACAUGCAAGUCGAACGGUAACAGGAAGCAGCUUGCUGCUUCGCUGACGAGUGGCGGACGGGUGAGUAAUGUCUGGGAAGCUGCCUGAUGGAGGGGGAUAACUACUGGAAACGGUAGCUAAUACCGCAUAAUGUCGCAAGACCAAAGAGGGGGACCUUCGGGCCUCUUGCCAUCGGAUGUGCCCAGAUGGGAUUAGCUUGUUGGUGGGGUAACGGCUCACCAAGGCGACGAUCCCUAGCUGGUCUGAGAGGAUGACCAGCCACACUGGAACUGAGACACGGUCCAGACUCCUACGGGAGGCAGCAGUGGGGAAUAUUGCACAAUGGGCGCAAGCCUGAUGCAGCCAUGCCGCGUGUAUGAAGAAGGCCUUCGGGUUGUAAAGUACUUUCAGCGGGGAGGAAGGGAGUAAAGUUAAUACCUUUGCUCAUUGACGUUACCCGCAGAAGAAGCACCGGCUAACUCCGU